GACGAACCGUGCGAACGUUGUUCGGAAUCACUGGGCUUAAAGGGCGCGUAGGCGGCCCGCCGCGUCCGGGGUGAAAUCCUCCCGCUCAACGGGAGAACGGCCUCGGAUACGGGCUGGCUGGGGCGCGGUCGAAGGAGACGGAAUGCCGGGUGUAGUGGUGAAAUGCGUAGAGAUCCGGCGGAACACCGGUGGUGAAGGCGGUCUCCUGGGCCGAGGGCCGACGCUGAUGCGCGAGAGCGUGGGGAGCGAACCGG
This 254-nucleotide ribosomal RNA is filed under the name uncultured bacterium. Its description in RNAcentral is "partial 16S ribosomal RNA". It matches the Rfam family "Bacterial small subunit ribosomal RNA", at positions 524 to 776 of the family's 1533-position model. The record is from RNAcentral.